UACUGUUACCUCUUGUUGUAUAUCUUCAGGCGUUGUAUCAUCUCCUUCUUGUUCAUUCUGUAAGGGCCUUGUGUCAUUUAAUUCUUGUUGAAUAUCUUCAGGCGUUGUUGUAAGUUAGCAACCUCUUGUUCAUUCUGUAAGGGCCUUGUGUCAUUUCAUUCUUGUUGUAAAUCUUUAGGCGUUGUAUCAUCACCGUCUUGUUCAUUCUGUAAAGGCCUUGUGUCAUUUAAUUCUUGUUGUAUAUCUUCAGGCUUUGUAUCAACAACCUCUUGUUUAUUCUGUUAGGGACUUGUGUUAUUUAAUUCUUGUUGUAUAUCUUCAGGAGUUGUGUCAUCAGCCUCUUGUUCAUUCUGUUAGAGCCUUGU
Molecule: long non-coding RNA, 365 nt
Filed under: Mytilus galloprovincialis (Mediterranean mussel)
Lineage: Eukaryota; Metazoa; Mollusca; Bivalvia; Mytilida; Mytilidae
Source: RNAcentral